This 278-nucleotide unclassified non-coding RNA is filed under the name uncultured fungus. Its description in RNAcentral is "sequence contains ITS1". Lineage: Eukaryota; Fungi. The record is from RNAcentral.
GUACAAAUUUCAAAAAAGGGGGCACAAGGGCCUCUUCUUUCUACUGCAACAUUCUAAACUUGUGUUUCAUAAGAAAAAAACAUAGACACUGGGGGAAACCCGGUCUACAGAAGUGCACAGGUGGUGAAAAGGAGAAAGAGUUGGGGGGAAAGGGGGGGAGGGGGAGAAGGCAUGCACAAUGCUCCAAAAGAAGCCAGCAACAACCCCCAAACCCCUUUUUUCCCAACCUUUUUUCCCCCCCCGCAAUAAUGAUCCUUCCGCAGGUUCACCUACGGAAA